Molecule: ribosomal RNA, 373 nt
Filed under: uncultured bacterium
Lineage: Bacteria
Description: bacterial SSU rRNA
Rfam family: Bacterial small subunit ribosomal RNA
Source: RNAcentral
UAAUACGGAGGGUGCAAGCGUUAUCCGGAUUCACUGGGUUUAAAGGGUGCGUAGGCGGGCAGGUAAGUCCGCGGUGAAAUCCUGGGGCUUAACCCCAGAACUGCCGCUGAUACUAUCUGUCUUGAAUACUGUGGAGGUGAGCGGAAUAUGUCAUGUAGCGGUGAAAUGCUUAGAUAUGACAUAGAACACCAAUUGCGAAGGCAGCUCACUACACAGCCAUUGACGCUGAGGCACGAAAGCGUGGGGAUCAAACAGGAUUAGAUACCCUGGUAGUCCACGCCCUAAACUAUGGAUACUCGACAUACGCGAUACACAGUGUGUGUCUGAGCGAAAGCAUUAAGUAUCCCACCUGGGAAGUACGACCGCAAGGUUG